GUGUUAAUAGUUACCAUUCUUGGGGCACCAUCAAUCUCUGCAACUUCCAUUCCUGUUACAAUCAUGCCAGGCACAAUUUCCCUUGUAAGCCUAACGAUUGCAUCCUCUGCCGUGUUCAUAUCCAGUGCCUUCAUUCCAGGGACGCUGUCAAUCAUCCCAAUGCUCUUCAAUCUCUUGACCCCAGUGGCUCCAAAAGGUCCAUCAUGUCCACAAGAACUGACCACAACCUUAGACUCCAUCACGUUCGGGUCCAUGCAGGAUUGUGUGUCGUGGUUCAUUGACACCAAAGCCCAGUUCGUUACCACACCGGCAACCCUGUUUCCUUUGACUAUCAGAUCCUCAGCAGCCACAGCAUUGAACAACUUCACGUUAGGCCUUGCUAAAAGCUUGCUCAUGAUUGUUGAUGUGAACAAAGCUGCAUGCUUGAUGACAACGUAGUCUUCUUGUUCGUCAUAUUGGAUGCCGAGCUCGUCGAGGAACCUGUGAGCUGGUUUGCGAACAACCAUGGCUGAAAAUAGUUGGCCACCAAGCCAUGCACCUCCACCAGGGCUAACAGAUUGUUCGAUUAUGGCAACACGGAUGUUGGGGUUUUUGCUAAUCUCGUAAGCACAAGAGAGGCCAGCGGAACCGGCGCCGACGAUGAUAACAUCAGUGUCAGCAUAG
Molecule: long non-coding RNA, 663 nt
Filed under: Gossypium barbadense (sea-island cotton)
Lineage: Eukaryota; Viridiplantae; Streptophyta; Magnoliopsida; Malvales; Malvaceae
Description: long non-coding RNA (GBAR_LNC017326)
Source: RNAcentral